GUGCAUUUUCCCUGCCAUCUGUUUUAUCACGGCAUUUUGGCCACCAUCUCUUUCUUCCAUUCUUGCGGCAGCACAAGGAGCAACUCUCGAGGGCGCCCCGCGGCACGGGGCGACACUUGAUAACGCUCAGUGGAGCGCUGCGGUGUAAGGGGAUAUGUUACUAUUUAUGGUGAGUGACAUGUAAACCCCACCACUCUCGAGCCCAUAUGUUAGCCACCAAGUCAGUGGAAAGUUAUAUCAGAUAAUCUCGCUCUGGGCAUAGCACAGAUAGUGUAAAGGGUGUCGCAGGGGCGGCGUCCGAGUGUCCAACAGUUUGGCGGUGAGGUAGUGAUGUCCUGCUACAUCAACAUUGAUUUAGAUAUAUUCGUGUGUUCUUGCUUUUUUUCUGUAUUCGUUCAAAUCUGACGACCGACGAGGUAGUGACAGCCGACUGCACCCCUCUGGACUAUACUCUCAAAUUCUUAGCAUGCAUGUGUUGUUAUUUUUGAUGUAUUAGUUCAGAUAUGAUGUUCCUUACCCAUUGUAUGGCUUUUGAUUUGGGUGUCUGCAAGGUGGCAUUUGUGUUCUUAUCAUUUGUAAAUAAAUAGUGGAUAAAAUUAAUUU
This 603-nucleotide small RNA is filed under the name Oryza sativa Japonica Group (Japanese rice). RNAcentral describes it as "sRNA Os03g0729400". The record is from RNAcentral. Lineage: Eukaryota; Viridiplantae; Streptophyta; Magnoliopsida; Poales; Poaceae.